Pelobates cultripes (western spadefoot toad) is the source of this 605-nucleotide non-coding RNA. The record is from the annotation of a GenBank genome assembly. Lineage: Eukaryota; Metazoa; Chordata; Amphibia; Anura; Pelobatidae.
CUAUUGAGUUCGUUUUGGAGCUACUUUCUCUUGUUUUAAGUAACAAUUACUUUAGAUUUGAAGAUAAAUGGUACCGCCAAGUUUCAGGCACGUCUAUGGGGGCCGCUAUGGCCCCAUGUAUGCCAACGCAUACAUGUAUAUAUAUGAGCAAAGAUGGAUCCUAUCAAAAUACAGUCAAUACAUCCAAGGCUACUUCAGGUAUAUUGAUAAUCUGCUUAUACUCUGGGUGGCAGUACAACAGAGGCUAUGGAGAUGGUACAGUUUUUAAACCAAGUGGAGAGUCCAAUAAGAUUUACAUGUUUCCUUAAAUGAACAGAGGCUUACAUAUUGUCUCUACAAGAAAGAAACAGAUUGUAACACCAUUCUGCAUAAUACAAGCACACACCCAGAGGCUUUGAAAAAGCCCAGUUUCUUAGAGUAAUCCGAAACAAUUUGGAUAUAAACAAGAUGGAUGAGCAAUUAGAAGAAAUGGUGGAUAAAUUUCUCGAGCGUGGCUAUCAGUAUAAAGACUUAGUCAGAGCAUUAGAGGAGGCAAAGUCUGCCGACGUGACUAAAUUGGAUGAGAAGGCCCCGAGAUUGGUUUUCCCCACUACUUUUCACGAUGC